GGAAGUAAAAGUCGUAACAAGGUUUCCGUAGGUGAACCUGCGGAAGGAUCAUUAUCUAUUCCAUGAGGUGCGGUCGCGGCCCUCGGCGGGAGCAACAGCUACCGUCGGGCGGUAGAGGUAACACUUUCACGCGCCGCAUGUCUGAAUCCUUUUUUUACGAGCACCUUUCGUUCUCCUUCGGCGGGGCAACCUGCCGUUGGAACCUAUCAAAAACUUUUUUUGCAUCUAGCAUUACCUGUUCUGAUACAAACAAUCGUUACAACUUUCAACAAUGGAUCUCUUGGCUCUGGCAUCGAUGAAGAACGCAGCGAAAUGCGAUAAGUAGUGUGAAUUGCAGAAUUCAGUGAAUCAUCGAAUCUUUGAACGCACAUUGCGCCCCUUGGUAUUCCAUGGGGCAUGCCUGUUCGAGCGUCAUCUACACCCUCAAGCUCUGCUUGGUGUUGGGCGUCUGUCCCGCCUCUGCGCGCGGACUCGCCCCAAAUUCAUUGGCAGCGGUCCUUGCCUCCUCUCGCGCAGCACAUUGCGCUUCUCGAGGUGCGCGGCCCGCGUCCACGAAGCAACAUUACCGUCUUUGACCUCGGAUCAGGUAGGGAUACCCGCUGAACUUAAGCAUAUCAAUAAGCGGAGGA
Molecule: ribosomal RNA, 629 nt
Filed under: Chaetothyriales sp. AR-2010
Lineage: Eukaryota; Fungi; Ascomycota; Eurotiomycetes; Chaetothyriales
Description: eukaryotic LSU rRNA
Rfam family: 5.8S ribosomal RNA (bases 261-414)
Source: RNAcentral